RNAcentral lists this long non-coding RNA (683 nucleotides) under Patiria miniata (bat star). RNAcentral describes it as "uncharacterized LOC119731986, transcript variant X2". Lineage: Eukaryota; Metazoa; Echinodermata; Asteroidea; Valvatida; Asterinidae. The record is from RNAcentral.
UUUUGGCGCACAUGCGUCCUCUCCUGCUCGGCUUCAUUGAGCUUGGUUCGCAGGAUUGCUGAAUCAAUUUUCAGCCGUAAAUUUCUCUUUUUAAAUUAUGCAUCAUCACAAGCAGACCAUUUCAUGUUGUUUUAGAGCACUUCUAGAAGUGUUUUGGCUAUCAAUUUGUGAUCUUCGUAGUCUCUGAGGGGAUGUUUUGGGCAGGAAAAAUUCGGACUGGGCACAAAGUUUGGCGUUGCAUGCUCAGUGACAUGGCGGCCAUAAUGGAACCGUUUGGAUGUUCAAGGUGAUGUUCUCCAUUCAAGAUGACAUUCAGGAACUCCAGAUGAAGCAGCCAUAGCUGAGGGGCAGAGCUGAUGUCUGAGCCAAUCAAGCUGAUGCUCCUUGAUUUGUUGGUAGAAGUGGCUUUCCCUCAUGUCUAAAAGCAUCUUUGCCUUCAUUUUGGCCCUGAUUCUAAACUUCUGUUCAUGCUGAUGAAGUCUGGCAGGAGCAAACAAUGACUGGACUACACUCACUAUGCAGUGCAGGACUGAUCUACCGUAGUCACAGGAGGGCGCUGUUGGAUACAUGCAGUCUCCGUAUUACAUGUAUGAGAAAUGACUGGAAGUAGAUGCCAACCCCUUGAGAAGAGGAAUACAAGGUUGCAUCGGAACAGUUUCACUGCAAAUUUUCACCCCCCCCCC